UACGUAGGGACCGAGCGUUGUCCGGAUUCAUUGGGCGUAAAGAGCUCGUAGGCGGCUGUUCAAGUCGAACGUGAAAACUCGGAGCUCAACUCCGAGCCUGCGUUCGAGACUGGAUGGCUAGAGUCUGGUAGGGGGAUCUGGAAUUCCUGGUGUAGCGGUGGAAUGCGCAGAUAUCGUAAGGAAGACCAGUGGCGAAGGCGGGUCUCUGGACAGUUCCUGACGCUGAGGCACGAAGGCCAGGGGAGCAAACGGG
RNAcentral lists this ribosomal RNA (253 nucleotides) under uncultured bacterium. Its description in RNAcentral is "partial 16S ribosomal RNA". It matches the Rfam family "Bacterial small subunit ribosomal RNA", at positions 524 to 776 of the family's 1533-position model. The record is from RNAcentral.